CCUGUACUUCCUCUGUCCGAAAAAUUUGUCCCUUAAAUGGAUAUAUUUAGCACCAAAUUAGUGCUAGAUACAUCCAUUUACGAAACAAGUUUGGGACAAGCUUUUUUGAACGGAGGGAGUAGCUU
Non-coding RNA from Triticum urartu, 125 nucleotides. Lineage: Eukaryota; Viridiplantae; Streptophyta; Magnoliopsida; Poales; Poaceae. The record is from Rfam.